RNAcentral lists this ribosomal RNA (402 nucleotides) under bacterium. Its description in RNAcentral is "partial 16S ribosomal RNA". It matches the Rfam family "Bacterial small subunit ribosomal RNA", at positions 355 to 776 of the family's 1533-position model. The record is from RNAcentral.
UGGGGAAUUUUGCACAAUGGGGGAAACCCUGAUGCAGUGACGCCGCGUGAUUUAGAAGGCCUUCGGGUUGUAAAAAUCUUUUCUAUGGGAAGAAAAUGACAGUACCAUAGGAAUAAGGACCGGCUAAUUACGUGCCAGCAGCCGCGGUAAUACGUAAGGUCCGAGCGUUGUCCGGAAUCAUUGGGCGUAAAGGGUACGUAGGCGGGUAAGCAAGUUAGAAGUGAAAUCCUAUAGCUCAACUAUAGUAAGCUUUUAAAACUGCUCAUCUUGAGGUAUGGAAGGGAAAGUGGAAUUCCUAGUGUAGCGGUGAAAUGCGCAGAUAUUAGGAGGAAUACCGGUGGCGAAGGCGACUUUCUGGCCAUAACCUGACGCUGAGGUACGAAAGCGUGGGUAGCAAACAGG